GUGGAUUAGAUACCCGGGUAGUCCACGCUGUAAACGAUGGGCACUAGGUGUGGGGGGUGUCGACUCCCUCCGUGCCGACGCUAACGCAUUAAGUGCCCCGCCUGGGGAGUACGGCCGCAAGGCUAAAACUCAAAGGAAUUGACGGGGGCCCGCACAAGCAGCGGAGCAUGUGGUUUAAUUCGACGCAACGCGAAGAACCUUACCUGGGCUUGACAUGUUCCUGACAACCGUGGAAACACGGUCUCCCUUCGGGGCAGGAUCACAGGUGGUGCACGGUCGUCGUCAACU
This 288-nucleotide ribosomal RNA is filed under the name uncultured bacterium. RNAcentral describes it as "partial 16S ribosomal RNA". It matches the Rfam family "Bacterial small subunit ribosomal RNA", at positions 773 to 1060 of the family's 1533-position model. The record is from RNAcentral.